This 85-nucleotide transfer RNA is filed under the name Lentinula boryana. Its description in RNAcentral is "tRNA-Gly". It matches the Rfam family "tRNA". From Rfam's summary of the family: Transfer RNA (tRNA) molecules are approximately 80 nucleotides in length. Their secondary structure includes four short double-helical elements and three loops (D, anti-codon, and T loops). RNAcentral also lists the same sequence under 3 other names. The record is from RNAcentral. Lineage: Eukaryota; Fungi; Basidiomycota; Agaricomycetes; Agaricales; Omphalotaceae.
ACACCGUUGGUGAAGUGGUUAUCAUGCUUGCCUUCCAUGUAUGCUAGGUUAGCAAGCGGCUCGGGUUCGAUUCCCGAACGGUGUA